UUAUUUCUGUUUAUCUAUUUUCUGUUUCUUUUAGUUUUACUUUAUAUGUAGUUUUAUAAUAUAUCAACUCAGUCCCUAAAUUAGCAUUAUUAGUUAGGCUACUGCCAUAAUUAAUUUGGCACUAAAUAAAUUAGUUUUACAUUUGUUUAUUAUUUAAAAUUAUUUAAUAAUUGUUUUAGCCCCUGUUUUUAUUUAGUUUAGGCACUUAAACAUUUUGAAAAAGGUUGGUUCCAACAUCCAAAAUAAGUUAGGGAUUAUUUGCCACAUGAUGAUCAUUUUAGUUUUCAUGUUUGAGAAGUUUAGAAUUUCACUUAUUAUUUGAAUUUGAAUUUGAACCGGAUUUGGGUCAAUGUGAGAUUAGUAAUAGUAAUAGUGGUGACAUGGCAUCAUUAGCAAAGGAUCACUGUAGCUUAAUUACCCGGGCGUCACAAUUCUCCUCCACUACAAGAAGUCUCGUCCCGAGAUUUAAGAGGGGAGUAAGGGGGAAAGUUCUUGUUACGAUAUUCUAACCAAUCUUCUCGGUCUUGGUUGCUCUUCUCGAAGAGGUCGAUCCAUAGCAUUGAUGUCUUCAUUCCUAUGCAUCAAUGCAUCAUGAUGAAGUUGUCGUCCUUCGUUUAGGAUCUUCACCGGACUUAUGAAAGGAUAAGAGGGAGAAAACUCAAUAAAGAUGGAUUCUAACAAAAUUGAGCAUCAGACGGUUAACUCAGGGGAAGAAGCAUACGUAUCUCUCGAAUUGAAACUUGAGAAAAUAUCGAGAGCAAAGUAAGGAGGUAUCAUGAUAAAUUUUGAGCGGGCAGGCAAUCGUUUAAUGCCUGAAACAAAGUGUGAAAGGGGUCAAGAGCAACGGGAAUAAGUAUUGCGUCUGAUACCAGAAUAGAUUACUAGGAUAGUGAACCCGUGAAAUACAUACGAAGUCAAGCACGAGGAAUAACUUUGGAAACCGGGGGUGUACAGGAGAGUCAGGUUUCGAUCCUGUGGAACUAUGGGUUAUGGGCCCACCAUGUGGGAUAAAAGUAGGAGGAGCGGUGACAUCUUGCAUGGUCAUGAUAGCAAGGCAUGUCAGAGGGUAGCCUGUCGAUUAUGUCGGCAACGACGUCGAUACCAAGGGCGAGGGACAAAGAGAACCAUUUUCCGGCUCGUUGAACGAGGCAGACCAAUAGGCAAAGUUCUCGUCCAUCGGUGUUACCGAAAUGUCAUCAACAAAAUUAACAGGGUCUUUCUAACAGAGUGGUACAACGAGGUGUUUACAUAAGCAGGGAUAUAUUACUGCUUAUACAAUAUAGAUCACAAGAAGGUUUAAACAAACCAAUGGAAAGGAAAAGUGAUUAUCAGGUUUAAACAGAACAAUGGAAAGGAAAAUGUGUUUAAACACAUAUUUCAAGGGUAUAUUCUUCCCAAGGACAAGCAAAGCAUGAUUUCCUUGACAGGAUAUAAUGUAGAAAACCCUUUAGGUAAAGGGGGGAUUUCAUGACAUUACCGAUACAGUGGUGUUUGGGUAAUUGAGCAGGAAACAUUUAGCAUUGGGCUUCAAAUGUUCUUGUUGAAAACUGGAGUACCACAGACAUGCUUCAAGAUAGCAUUGACAUGGUCUUCAAGCAAAGGUCGGACUCUGGAUACACGAAGGGAUUCAUCAUUAAGCCAAGGAGAGGAUGAGGAGGUGGCUGAUGGACUCAGCAAUAAUACAUCGAGGUAUCCAAAAAGAUGAAUUUCCAUAGUUAUUGAAGAAGGAGAUAAGAUUUGUCGGAUCAAAUGAUAAAAUGAUGUAUGCUCAAGGAAAAACAUACACAAUUAAACAUUAAUUGAAAAGGGUGCCCAAAGUAUGGGCUUAGGUAGCAUGAUCAAAUGUUAGAAUGGUGAUUCAGUGAUCAAUAGUCUAAGAAUGAACGUUCGACCAUUAACUUCAAAGCAAUAGGGUUGCUAGAAGGGCAGAAUCCAAACAGUAUCGUUCACCUGUUGGUAUCCCGGUUAGAACCAACUCGGGGACCAAGAAAGAAAGGUGAUGGUGAGAAGUAUUACCUGUAUCAAGAAUCCAUAAGAGGUGGUGAAAUUCUCACGACUUUCUUGACAUUAAAGAUGGUAAUACUCCAAGGUAAGGAAGAACAAAUGCUGGAUAGCAAGGAACUCAAGGUAUGACACAAAACACGAACAAGUUUGUGUCAAACGGAAGGCAAUAAAGUGGUAGAUGAUAAAACAAAUCAUCAAGGUCAAGAAUGGUAUUUCUCAUCAUGAAUUCGAUAUAUAUCUUGGAAGAGCUCAGGAUGUUGCUGAUGACCACGACACAUUUGUCAACAGAUUUCAUGAAGAUGUAAUUGGUCGGCGAUGACAUCAAGUCAAAUGAUGAUGCAGCGAAAGUCAAAUAAUACUUGAAGAAGAACUCAUAAGAAGUUAUGCAGUUCCGUGAUAAUCUCGAGAUACCAGAGGGGGUAAUACUCGAUGACAGAUCAAAGUAAAGGUUGGACUGGGGUAUUGCUCUAUACAAGACAAGCGCUUAAACUUGCAUGCGAAAUGGUAUUUAAAGGAGAACAUGGUCGGAACCACGAUUGCAAAAGGCCAGAUCCCGGAUAUAAGAUGAACUUAUACCAAAGGAAUAAUUUAAUUUAAGAGAAGCUUUAAUGAUAAGAUCUACAUCGUGUCCAUGGGCAUGAACACAAAGUUCAAGGUCGACUCCCACUUCUCCAAUGCAUAACCUUCCAUUCACUUCUCACUUUCGAAGAAGUUGUAGUGUUGAAAUUUUAUUUGGAAAAUACCAGAAGUGUAUGACUCGUGAAAACUUUCGAGUUCACACAGUUUAGAGAAGGCAUAUGUUCAACCCAUAGGGGCUUCUUAGAAACAUAUACCACAAGUUUCAAGAGUAAAUAUCACAAGCUCGAAAGUAGAGCAAGGUUGUGAAAGUAGAUGAUACCAUUUACCAAAGGCAUUAUGUAUCCGAGGGAAGGCUCACAAGGUUAUUGAAUAUGAAGGACGAUGUCGGAUAAAAUCCAUUAAAGGAUCUGCCGGUCUAUAACAGAGCUGACGUAGCAUCGGCACACAACCAAAGGAAGUAACAAUGCAAAGGCAUUGGAUUAUGGAAACAACUGACUAAUCCAGAGCUCAAAUGCAAAGGAAUUAUGAUUUUCAGAUCAAGGGAUCAGAAGCAAUGUUCUGAUUAGGGAUGGAUAAGUUGAAUAGCCUUAGGGGUACAAUCGACGGCAAUUGGAUUUGUUGAGAACCAGCUCAUGUUUAAAAUGACGUCUGAGCCGGAAAGAUAGUAUAAAAGGAUCAACUGAUGAUUGCGUGCAUUCGCACUCAUGUUGAAUUAAAGGGAUCAAAAUGACGGUGUCUAAGGAUACUAACGAAUAUUGCCAGACAUAUGGAAAGCAUCCAUCAUGCAAGCAGACAAGUAUUGCAGAGCAAUAAGCUACUAAGGAUUUUUGGAGGAUCGAAUAGUAUUUCGGUGACCAUUAUGAAACACAUGAUCAAUUGGGGGAUGAGCGGAUACUCGAUAAGUGUGAGAAUUAUCCGUAGGGGUAUUCAUGUGACAAAAAAAACAGCAAGGCAGUAAGCUCAAAGGAUUAUCGAAACAACGACGAGUAUUUCGGGGUAUCUUGUAAUAACAAGACCAACUGGGAAUAAAAUUAAGAAUGACAGGUGUAAGUAUUUAUCCAUAGGGAUUUUUCACUGGUAGGGAAUUGCAAAAGCAAUGGCACAAGGUUUCGGGAGAACAUCGGAGAGUAUUAUCAGAAUCUUCUGUUGAAGCAGUCGAUCAUUUGUAAUGAAGGGCUCUCCGGGAGAAAGUGAUAACGAGAUCCUAAUGCUAGAUUUAGCAAAAUUCAUUUAACCCGAAUAGAAGAGAGUUCAGAGUCCCAAAGUAAAGAUCGAGGGGUAAAAGAUUCUAAUACCACCCAAAUGGCGACGUGGGCCCGUAAGGCACACAGCCAUGUUAGUAAAAGUUUUUGUAAAGUCUAGACUCAACUUCAACCAAGGAGUGUGGAAGGGGGGAUUCCUACAGGCAGCCGGCUCUGAUACCAACUUGUGACGCCCCCGAUUUGACCAUACACUAAUCAUACACGCAAACGUGUACGAUCAAGAUCAGUGACUCACGGGAAGAUAUCACAACACAACUCUACAAAUAAAAUAAGUCAUACAAGCAUCAUAUUACAAGCCAGGGGCCUCGAAGGCUCGAAUACAAGAGCUCGACCAUAGACGAGUCAGCGGAAGCAACAAUAUCUGAGUACAGACAUAAGUUAAACAAGUUUGCCUUAAGAAGGCUAACACAAACUGGGAUACAGAUCGAAAGAGGCGCAGGCCUCCUGCCUGGGAUCCUCCUAAACUACUCCUGGUCGCUGUUAGCGGGCUGCACGUAGUAGUAGGCACCUCCCGAGUAGCAGUAGUCGUCAUCAACGGUGGCGUCUGGCUCCUGGACUCCAGCAUCUGAUUGCGACAACCAGAAAGAAAGGAAAAGGGGAAAAAGGGGGAGAAAGCAACCGUGAGUACUCAUCCAAAGUACUCACAAGCAAGGAGCUACACUACAUAUGCAUGGGUAUCAAAUGGAAUAAGGGUAUCAUAUGUGGACUGAACUGCAGAAUGUCAGAAUAAGAGGGGGAUAACUAAUCAUGUCGAAGACUACGCUUCUGGCCACCUCCAUCUUGUAGCAUGUAGGAGAGAGUAGAUGGUAAGUUCACCAAGUAGCAACAAGUAGCAUCAUAUAGCAUAAUCCUAACCGAUGAUCCUCCCCUCGUCGCCCUGUGAGAGAGCGAUCACCAGUUGUAUCUGGCACUUGGAAGGGUGUGUUUUAUUAAGUAUCCGGUUCUAGUUGUCAUAAGGUCAAGGUACAACUCCAAGUCGUCCUGUUACCGAAGAUCACGGCUAUUCGAAUAGAUUAACUUCCCUGUAGGGGUGCACCACAUAACCCAACACGCUCGAUCCCAUUUGGCCGGACACACAUUCCUGGGUCAUGCCCGGCCUCGAAAGAUCAACACGUUGCAACCCUACCUAGGCACAACAGAGAGGUCAGCACGCCGGUCUAAAUCCUAUGGCGCAGGGGUCUGGGCCCAUCGCCCAUUGCACACCUGCAUGUUGCAUACACGGCCAGAAGCAGAACUAGCCCCCUUAAUACAAGAGCAGGCUUACGGUCCAAUCCGGCGCGCGCCACUCAGUCGCUGACGUCACGAAGGCUUCGGCUGAUACCACGACGUCGAGUGCCCAUAACUGUCCCCGCAUAGAUGGUUAGUGCGUAUAGGCCAGUAGCUAGACUCAAAUGAAAUACCAAGAUCUCGUUAAACAUGUUAAGUAUCCACGAACACCGACCAGGGCCAGGCCCACCUCUCUCCUAGGUGGUCUCAACCUGCCCUGUCGCUCCGCCACAAAGUAACAUUCGGGGGCUGUCGGGAACCUAGGCCCACCUCUACCAGGAUGGAGCCACCUGCCCCUUCAGCCCCCAACUCCGAACCGUACCACAGGUAAUGUAACUGUGUAAAUUAUAUAGUAUUUGCCCAUGAUCACCUCCCGAAGUGAUCAUGGCCCAGUAGUAUAGCAUGGCAGACGGACAAGAGUGUAGGGCCACUGAUGGAACACUAGCAUCCUAUACUAAGCAGUAGGAUAGCAGGUAAUGGUAACAACAGUAGUAGCAAGGACAGGCUAUGCAUCAGGAUAGGAAUAACGGAAAGCAGUAACAUGCUACACUACUCUAAUGCAAGCAGUAUAGAGAAGAGUAGGCGAUAUCUGGUGAUCAAAGGGGGGGCUUGCCUGGUUGCUCUGGCAAGAGAGAGGGGUCGUCAACACCGUAGUCGAAUUGGGGGGGUUCGCCGACAGCCUCAGGGUCUACCGGAUAGAAGUAACGGAGGGGGAACACAAUAGAUAACAGUCCAAUCAAAGCCUCACAAGGCAUAACAUGACAAUACGCGGUGCUAGGGGUGCCCUAACGCGGUAUGAGGUGGUACCGGUGAAGGGGGGAAACCUCCGGGAAAAUAUCCCCGGGGUUUCGCAUUUUCAAACAGAUGAACUGGAGGAGGAAAGUUGCGUGUUCUCUAUGCUAAGUAUGCGUGGCGGAUGAACGGGCUGCGAAAUCGGGUUCGUCUCGUCGUUCUGAGCAACUUUCAUGUACAAAAUAUUUUCAUCCUUGUUACGGUUUAUUUUAUAUUAUUUUUCGAAGAUUUAAAUCAUUUUUAGAAUUAUCAGAAUUAAUUUAAUUAGAAAAUGCCAUUAUGAUGCCAGCAUGACAUCAGGGUGAUGUCAGCAGUCAACAGUUAGUUGACUUGGUCAAACUGACGCGUGGGUCCCAGUUGUCAUUGACUUAGGUUAAAAACAUGAUUAGUUAAUUUAAUUAAGUGAUUAGGUUAAUUGAACAGGAUUAAUUAAGUUAACUAAUUAGUUAAUUAACUCUUUAAUUAAUUAAUAAUCAAUUAUUUUCAAUUCCCUUUUUAACGUUCUCAGGGGGCAUGGGGCCCCUUGCCCAGUGGCACAGAGGCCACUGGAGCGGGCGCGCGGGUGCGGGGUAACGAGCGCCUGGAACGGGCGCCGGGCACCCACCCAGGUCAACGCGGGAGGGACGGGCGCUGGGUGCCGGCGACCAGCUCGCCGGGGAAGUAGGGCGCAGCCCCGGUAGUGGCGGCCCUGGGGGCGACGUAGGGCGCGGUUUCGCGCGCCAGCGUGCGUGCAUGGGAGUGGCGAGCUGCAGUUGGGCAGGAGCCGGCAGGGAGCAGGGCCGUGGGCGCGUGAGCGGCUGCAAGCGUUGGAGGCGGGGCCGCGCGAGGAGCAUGAGGGGCCGGGGUGGGCGAGGCCAGCACGCGGUAGCAGUAGGAGCUGGCCACGGCGGGCGACCAAGGCCAUGGCCUGCGCGCAGGCGCGCAUCGACGAGGCGGGCCAUGGAUGCAGGGGGUGUGGCCGGCGCAGGUCGCGGCACAGGUAGCAGCAACGACGAAACAUGGGCGAGGCCGGCGGUGCGUGGCGACGCGAGCGAGGCGGGUCGGCGCGGUGAGGCGGUGUGCGUGCGUGUGUGCGUGUGUGCGCGAGGCGGGGAGGAGAGUAGGAGGCCGAGGGCGUCACCGUGGUGCGUGGGGAACGGGACAGUGGUGCGUGAGGAGGGCGGCGGGGACGACGACGUAAAGGAGAAGCAGGCCGGCGGGGGGAGCGAUCCGGGCGUCGAAGGUCGAUUCAGGCGGCGGCGGCGUCCUGGCGUAGGGCCNNNNNNNNNNNNNNNNNNNNNNNNNNNNNNNNNNNNNNNNNNNNNNNNNNNNNNNNNNNNNNNNNNNNNNNNNNNNNNNNNNNNNNNNNNNNNNNNNNNNNNNNNNNNNNNNNNNNNNNNNNNNNNNNNNNNNNNNNNNNNNNNNNNNNNNNNNNNNNNNNNNNNNNNNNNNNNNNNNNNNNNNNNNNNNNNNNNNNNNNNNNNNNNNNNNNNNNNNNNNNNNNNNNNNNNNNNNNNNNNNNNNNNNNNNNNNNNNNNNNNNNNNNNNNNNNNNNNCUUUAUAUGUAGUUUUAUAAUAUAUCAACUCAGUCCCUGAAUUAGCAUUAUUAGUUAGGCUACUCCCAUAAUUAAUUUGGCACUAAAUAAAUUAGUUUUACAUUUGUUUAUUAUUUAAAAGUAUUUAAUAAUUGUUUUAGCCCAUGUUUUUAUUUAGUUUAGGCACUUAAACAUUUUGAAAAAGGUUGGUUCCAACACCCAAAAUAAGUUAGGGAUUAUUUGCCACAUGAUGAUCAUUUUAGUUUUCAUGUUUGAGAAGUUUAGAAUUUCACUUAUUAUUUGAAUUUGAAUUUGAACCGGAUUUGGAUCAAC
This 7750-nucleotide long non-coding RNA is filed under the name Triticum aestivum (bread wheat). RNAcentral describes it as "long non-coding RNA (TAES_LNC014775)". The record is from RNAcentral. Lineage: Eukaryota; Viridiplantae; Streptophyta; Magnoliopsida; Poales; Poaceae.